Phyllostomus hastatus (greater spear-nosed bat) is the source of this 519-nucleotide long non-coding RNA. RefSeq lists it as uncharacterized. Lineage: Eukaryota; Metazoa; Chordata; Mammalia; Chiroptera; Phyllostomidae. The transcript is spliced from 3 exons. The record is from RefSeq and is a predicted model, not a curated record.
CUUUCCAACACUCUCUCUUACUGCUGUGAUCUGGGAAGCUUGUCCUGAUACAGAGGGGCAACACUCAGCUUUCACAUGGCAGACAACUUUCAAGGCUCUCCCAAAACCAGAGGAAGAGAUCCAGAAUCUCAUGGAGUCUUGGAUUUGGUAGAAAGCCAGGAAGUUGUCUGGUCCAUGCCCCAUGGAGAAGAGAAAGCCCAGUCAAGGCCCUACUGAGCACUCCCCAGGUGUGGCACAUGCUGCUGUGGGGAGCCAGUUCUCUCCAUGGGCCUCUCGUGUUUCUGCAUAUCUCAGGAGGAGAGACAUCAACUAUCUUUUCAAUAUCCACAGAUCCGUUUCAAGCAUUCACAGAACCAGAAAGAGCCCGAAGUGGUCAUUCAUGCCAUACUGGUGACUUGGAGCAAGACUACUCUAUCCAAUUCAGGAUGGUGGCUCAUUUGACUUUUCAUGAGUCCCUGGGGGGCUUUCUACAGCAGUAUCACAGAACUAUGCAAUGAAUAAUUAUGAAUAAAUGAAGGC